GCCAGGUGUGGUGGCACAUGCCUGUAAUUCCAGCAGCUUGGGAGGCUUAGGUAGGAGAAUCUCAAGUGCAAAGCCAGUCUCAGCAACUUAGUGAGAUCCUUCCUCAA
Molecule: small RNA, 107 nt
Filed under: Marmota monax (woodchuck)
Lineage: Eukaryota; Metazoa; Chordata; Mammalia; Rodentia; Sciuridae
Source: RNAcentral